Molecule: non-coding RNA, 28 nt
Filed under: Bombyx mori (domestic silkworm)
Lineage: Eukaryota; Metazoa; Arthropoda; Insecta; Lepidoptera; Bombycidae
Source: RNAcentral
UCAGAAUAAUUAUUUCGGGUUUAUUCGC